CCAAUAGCGUAUAUUAAAGUUGUUGCAGUUAAAAAGCUCGUAGUUGAAUUUCGGGAUCAAUAUGUUGGUCGUGCCUUGGUACGUACUGGCAUUAUUGGUUUCUACCUUCUGAAGAACCUCGAUGUCAUUAAUUUGGUGUCUUGGGGAAUCAGGACUGUUACUUUGAAAAAAUUAGAGUGUUUAAAGCAGGCUCGCGCUUGAAUACAUUAGCAUGGAAUAAUGAAAUAGGACGUUUGAUUCUAUUUUGUUGGUUUCUAGGAUCGACGUAAUGAUUAAUAGGGAUAGUUGGGGGCAUUAGUAUUCAAUUGUCAGAGGUGAAAUUCUUGGAUUUAUUGAAGACUAACUACUGCGAAAGCAUUUGCCAAGGAUGUUUUCAUUAAUCAAGAACGAAAGUUAGGGGAUCGAAGACGAUCAGAUACCGUCGUAGUCUUAACCAUAAACUAUGCCGACUAGGGAUCGGAUGAUGUUAAUUUUAAUGACUCAUUCGGCGCCUUACG
Molecule: ribosomal RNA, 497 nt
Filed under: uncultured Glomeromycotina
Lineage: Eukaryota; Fungi; Glomeromycota
Description: partial small subunit ribosomal RNA
Rfam family: Eukaryotic small subunit ribosomal RNA
Source: RNAcentral